UCAAAAUAUAAAAAUAUAUCAAAACUUCAGGCAAAAUUAUCUUGAACAACUAUCCAACUGCACCACUCUGCACAUCAGAAAAAAAACACCACAUACUCACUGCAUUCCUAAAUGUAGAGUAGUAUUAAGGAGUAAGCUUAUCCGGACAGCAAGUAGUUGUGCCCACUGUAUAAGGAUAAUCAUAAUGCACACACCACAACAGGGAUUUUUUUCUUUGACAUCUGCAUACAAAGUUACGGAACAAGCUCUUGAAUGGUUGUGACUAAAUUUCUCAAAAGAUGUCAACAAAAGUAAGAUAAUAUAUAUUACAGUAUAAGGCUAUUAUACAUGCUAACUAUGCACUGUUGUUAAAUAAACGGUAUACUUGUGACUAUUCUAUAUCAUCAACAUGCUUCUACCCGACUCUCCAUUAAUCGCCUAGCUACAUGGAUGCAUUCACAAAGAUAUAAGCCCUCUCCUUAGCUUUUAGCAUACCUCUAUUCACAAAGAUUGUGUGCUAUAUAUAAGUAUUGUGACGCUAAUGGUCGAACAUGCAAAUUAAACUUACACGUGAAAAAUAUGCAACCCACAAUUGCGAUAUCUUAACAUAUCACAUUACAAACAUAUAAACAACGGUCUAAGAAAUACGUGUAACUACACUAACAUUUGGGAUAUUUGAGAUACUUGUCAUGAAUAGUUUCUCCCAUCAACAUAUCAUUGCAACUUAGGGCAAUUCAUUUUCUUUUCUCCGGAAAAAGGUCAAUCUUAUUUCUUCUGGCCUGUCUGCUCUAUGGAUCUUGGUGUUGUAGGCAGAUGGACACAUCUCAGUUCAGAGCAUGUUUGUAAGCAAAAAAUUAUACCUAAUGAUAUAAUUUACAUAAACCUAAUGCCCAGGCAUAUUAUCAAUUGAUGGCGAAUGUGCAUUACAAGUUGAAGUUUCUUGUUCCAACGGAUCCCAGUUAUUGGUUUUUGUCAUCCAACAGUUUAAUGUCAUAUCAACCAAGGUUUGUGCUCUACUUAUGGAGGUAGCCAGUAGAAACUAUUUGUGCAUACAAGUGUUUUCCAAACUAUAACAUUUUAAUUUAUGUUCCAUUUUCAUCCAUCUACACAUUUUAAUUUCCGUGUGCAGAAAGAAAUACCUUGAUCACAAUGCUUGGCGUAGAAAAAGUCAUCAUCAUGUAGGUUGACAUUGACAUACUGUUCAUCCAAAUACUUCAGGCGCUGGACAAGCAUAUUGAACCAAGAUCUUCACUUGAUACCGGAGCAGCAAGCAUAUCUAAGAGAACAACACAGCAUAAUAUAAAUCAUUAAAAUAUGGCCAAAAGGUAACUCAUGUGAGUCUAACCUCUUUAGCUAACAAAAGCUAUUGUUCUACAGGGAAGAAAAUAAGUCUACAUAUAUGCGAGUCUCACCUCUUUACCUAAGAUUUCAUUGUUUUUUAUCAUGUUAUGCCAUAUAUCUUACAACCCCUUUGUUCU
RNAcentral lists this long non-coding RNA (1457 nucleotides) under Triticum aestivum (bread wheat). RNAcentral's name for it is "long non-coding RNA (TAES_LNC013962)". Lineage: Eukaryota; Viridiplantae; Streptophyta; Magnoliopsida; Poales; Poaceae. The record is from RNAcentral.